Molecule: long non-coding RNA, 449 nt
Organism: Fundulus heteroclitus (mummichog)
Lineage: Eukaryota; Metazoa; Chordata; Actinopteri; Cyprinodontiformes; Fundulidae
Exons: 3
Source: RefSeq, a predicted model, not a curated record
AACCCCAGAGACAAACAAAGUGUAGUGAUGAGGAAGAGAGAGGAUAUUUGAGCUGUGUGAGUGAUCAACUCGACAGUGUGGCUGCUACACCAGCAGCUCAUGCUGAAAAGAGGAGAACGUGGCACACAGUACCGAAAGCGGAAGGAGAGGAACUGUCUCACAGACCGCAGGACGACCAUCGGCAGCCCCUCCCUGUCCUGGAAAAUGAAUGGCCAUUACCGUCUAAUAAACAACACGCCCAGGAGCGGGGAUGUGAGGCAGAGUGCGAUUAUUUCUGCUUAAGGUUGAGACAGUGAAAGAAUGAAGGAAAAGAGAAAGGAAAGAGUGAAAGGCAACUGCAAACCUACCAAGACAUGGCAAUUCAUAUGAACUUACAGGCCAGGAAAGGAGAGUGUAAAUCAAAGAAGCAGCCAAGAGGUCCAUGAUAACCCUGGAGGAGCUGCAGAGAU